UGUCUGCAGUAAAAUUUCGCUCCUGAAUCAUGAGAAUCAAAAGGUCAAUACAUAAACCUACAAAAAGAAAUGCAAAGUAUUCAUGUCACUCCAAAGAACAUGCAGGAGACUGAUCAUAAUUUAGUUCACGAUUCCUAAGGACAUUAGUUCUGAAACAGAAAAAAAAAACUUACACUCUUGUAGUCAGAUUUGCACCGUUUGUACGCAAAUCAAAAUGACAGUUAAACAAUCAAAUAAUUGUCAGUGAGGAAAACUUAAUGAUUAAAUCAUCAGCAAUGCAGUUACUAAAUAGAAGUAAUAUCUAAACUGUUCUUGGUUACAAUUUUUCACACUACAGGUUUUCAUCAAAUCCAACAAGGGGAUAUUAUUGCUUUCAUCAAUUUCAUAAAACAUCAUAAAUUGGAUUAUGCAAUUACAAGUAUAGUUCUGGAUAAUGGCAACAGAUAAGUGCUACUCAAUUCAACUCAGCUAAGCCUUUAUCUCAAGAAUUUGGGGUCAAUUAUAUGGAUUAUCUUUCUAUAUUCUAAAUAUUUUGGGUUAAAUCCUCGAAAAUGUGUAAUGCUUCUAGGUCAUAUUGUACUACUCUCGGUUUCUUUAUGGUUAAUAAUGGAAGUUAAUCAUAAUGUGUUUUCUCUAUUGCAGGCAUCACCCAUGACUAUUGGA
RNAcentral lists this unclassified non-coding RNA (663 nucleotides) under Hevea brasiliensis (rubber tree). The record is from RNAcentral. Lineage: Eukaryota; Viridiplantae; Streptophyta; Magnoliopsida; Malpighiales; Euphorbiaceae.